Molecule: long non-coding RNA, 310 nt
Filed under: Solanum tuberosum (potato)
Lineage: Eukaryota; Viridiplantae; Streptophyta; Magnoliopsida; Solanales; Solanaceae
Description: long non-coding RNA (STUB_LNC002558)
Source: RNAcentral
AAAAUAUUUUUCAUCAUCAACUCCAAAGUCGGUGGAUGUCAGAUUAUCAUGCCCCAACAAUGUAAGUUCUAUCACACUCUACAAAUGGACUGUUGCUGUCAUCAUGAAGAAUAUUGACUGUCAUCUGUAUCUUCACCAUCAUGAACAAAACCAGCUAAGUCUGUAGAUUUUGUUCUUCAUAUAAUCACCAUGUGAAUAAUUUCAAAGGUCUAAGGACAAGUUUUAAUACUUUGGUCUAUUAUAUCAUUUGUUGAGGGUAGUCAUGAAGCUAGAAUUUUGAUUAAGGAAUAUGAAAAUAUAAAAAAGUAAA